GGAGCAGAGAAGGAGCAUGCAAUUCUGGUUGAGGCAAAGGCAAAAAGGAAAACAAAAACUGGAAAGAAAAGCCUGAUACGAAUCUGAGGUGCUGCCGAACGCCAGGUUGUUUAUUGAGGCGACUCAGCCUUCCGGCCGCCCGGCCUUGAUUUCUCCUCACUGUGCAGUGAGUCGAGCCGGCCAGCAGCCCUUCUGUUCCGCCCCAGUGUUGCCAGGUGCCAUCCACCAUCGGUCCUGGGGCAGCUGCGUCUGCUUUGCAUCUGACUGCAGGGCGGGAUGCCAGCUGCCACUUAUGAUGGUAACUGCAGCCGCCUGGUCCCUGUUAGCUCAGGCGUCCUCUCACCCGCACUGUCCUUCCUGCUUUGACGGGUGGGUGUGUCUGCCAGGCCUUCCUGGACACGGUCACCCACUGGCCUUCUGCCUUAGUUGGCUCACCCGCCCUCCCGUGUCCACUUCACUCCACCGUCUGACAGAGUGAUUCCGGUAUUUCUACCUAACUUAAUGUGGCCCAGAGCUGCUUAUGUGCUCCUUUGAACCAUCCUGACGACCUGUGGCCACCACACCCUAGGGCCUGGCCAGGGUGUUAAAACCCACGUCUUGGGUGAGUGCGCCUGAAUCAGUGAACUCUCCCUUAUCAGGCUCUGCCUGGCCUUGGCUGAGCGCGCUCAGCGCCGUGCUCUCCUGGCCCUAGCUGGCUGCCCAGGCCCUGCAGCUCCCUCAGCAAAGAGCGAAGAUUCUCUUCCCUCUAACCCCGGGCCCCGCACGUCAUCACAGCCAGCUGGGAGCAGAGACGUGGGCUGAUGCCGGAGUGCCUGUUGUUCUGCAGGGCCAUGGCCUUGGCAUAGCAAACUGGCUAGGGAGAGGUUCAAUCUUUGGAACUUGGCUGCUCUGUGAGAAGACGGAACGCGAGGGCUGUCAGCUGCUCCUGGAAGCGCUCAUCCCAGUUUAUCACAGUGUCCACUGGACUGUGCGUCCAGACGCUGGCUGAUGAGAGACUGGAGACUGGUGAGAUGUCCUCCGGAUGUGAAUGGUGGCGUUUCUUCCGAUCGGUUCAGACGUGGUGUGAAUCAGGAACAAGCCCACGUGCAGACAGACAAGAUGAAGUAUUCUUCACGAAAAUUUAACAUCUUAAUUGAGGUGUGUUGUGCAUGCAAAUUACACACUGGAUUUCAAAGCGUAUGAGAAGAAUGUAAAAUGUACCAUUAAUAAUUUGAAGACAAUGAUGAUGUGUUGAAAUAAU
Molecule: long non-coding RNA, 1240 nt
Organism: Artibeus jamaicensis (Jamaican fruit-eating bat)
Lineage: Eukaryota; Metazoa; Chordata; Mammalia; Chiroptera; Phyllostomidae
Exons: 3
Source: RefSeq, a predicted model, not a curated record